RNAcentral lists this ribosomal RNA (428 nucleotides) under uncultured bacterium. RNAcentral describes it as "partial 16S ribosomal RNA". It matches the Rfam family "Bacterial small subunit ribosomal RNA", at positions 355 to 774 of the family's 1533-position model. The record is from RNAcentral.
CUAAGAAUAUUCCGCAAUGGGAGCAAUCCUGACGGAGCGACGCCGCGUGAACGAAGAAGGCAGAAAUGUUGUAAAGUUCUUUUAUAUGGGAAGAAUAAGAUUAGGAGUGGAAAGCCUAAUUGAUGACGGUACCAUAUGAAUAAGCCACGGCUAACUACGUGCCAGCAGCCGCGGUAAUACGUAGGUGGCAAGCGUUGUUCGGAUUCAUUGGGCGUAAAGGGCAUGUAGGCGGUUAGAUAAGUGUGAAUUAAAAUACCGAAGCUUAACUUCGCGUUUGGUUUGCAAACUAUCUGACUAGAGUGCAGAAUAAGAGACUAGAAUUCCGUGUGUAGGGGUGAAAUCUGUAGAUAUGCGGAAGAAUACUUGUGGCGAAGGCGAGUCUCUGGUCUGUAACUGACGCUAAUAUGCGAAAGUGUGGGUAGCAAACA